AUGCGUAUGUUGAGAUGGAUGUGUGGCCACACGAGGAAGGAUCGAGUCCGGAAUGAUGAUAUACGAGAUAGAGUUGGGGUAGCACCAAUUGAGGAGAAGCUUGUCCAACAUUGUUUGAGAUGGUUUGGGCAUAUUCAGCGCAGGCCUCCAGAAGCUCCAGUGCAUAGCGGACGGCUAAAGCGUGCGGAGAAUGUCAAGAGAGGGCGGGGUCGACCGAAUUUGACAUGGGAGGAGUCCGUUAAGAGAGACCUGAAGGAUUGGAGUAUCGACAAAGAGCUAGCUAUGGACAGGGGUGCGUGGAAGCUUGCUAUCCAUGUGCCAGAGCCAUGA
RNAcentral lists this ribosomal RNA (330 nucleotides) under Triticum aestivum (bread wheat). Its description in RNAcentral is "partial small subunit ribosomal RNA". Lineage: Eukaryota; Viridiplantae; Streptophyta; Magnoliopsida; Poales; Poaceae. The record is from RNAcentral.